AGCGUUGUUCGGAAUUACUGGGCGUAAAGGGCUCGUAGGCGGCCAACUAAGUCAGACGUGAAAUCCCUCGGCUUAACCGGGGAACUGCGUCUGAUACUGGAUGGCUAGAGGUUGGGAGAGGGAUGCGGAAUUCCAGGUGUAGCGGUGAAAUGCGUAGAUAUCUGGAGGAACACCGGUGGCGAAGGCGGCAUCCUGGACCAAUUCUGACGCUGAGGAGCGAAAGCCAGGGGAGCAAACGGG
RNAcentral lists this ribosomal RNA (240 nucleotides) under uncultured bacterium. RNAcentral's name for it is "partial 16S ribosomal RNA". It matches the Rfam family "Bacterial small subunit ribosomal RNA", at positions 537 to 776 of the family's 1533-position model. The record is from RNAcentral.